Molecule: long non-coding RNA, 634 nt
Organism: Daucus carota subsp. sativus
Lineage: Eukaryota; Viridiplantae; Streptophyta; Magnoliopsida; Apiales; Apiaceae
Exons: 4
Source: RefSeq, a predicted model, not a curated record
UUUUAUUCAAAAUCCCAAAGCAAAACAGAACAAAAGAGUUCUCAAUAAAGCAAAGCAAACAUCUGGCUAAUUAGGGUUCGAGAGGCAAAGAAAAGAGAAUGGAGGACGAAAACAGAAACACAGAGAGGAUGAUGCCCAUGGAAAAGAGGGAGAAGGCGACGUAAACAAACAAAAAACGAAUGCUCGCAACCCUCAAAUGGCCGACACCGCCGCCACUGACUCGGAACAUAAAAACAAUCAGGAUUAUAGACAACGAGGAACAAUCGUUGCAAACAUCAAGCACAAGUGCAUUUGAAGCUUCGGAGUACAAAUGGAAAAAAAAAAAAAGAAACCAAGAAAAAAGUCAAAGCUAGAGAAGAGGAUGAAAAAAUUAAACAAGAAAAUUGGCAAACUGACUUUUGCAGUUGAAAAACUAACACAUAUCUUCAGUUUGAGUAAGUUUGACAUGUUCAAGUAAUUGACAGUUUCAGAAAUAGAUUCUGGAUAUUUUAAUCUCCUAUUUUUGUAUAUUAAUAUUUGCUGGGACAAUUUAUUUGGUAUGCUAGGUAUUAGUUUUUUAAUGGUUGUAUUGUAUGAUGUUUUUAUUUGUGUUUUAAGUAUCAAUGAAAGAGUAGUAAGUAGGAAGUUGAGCUAA